RNAcentral lists this ribosomal RNA (900 nucleotides) under Triticum aestivum (bread wheat). RNAcentral's name for it is "partial small subunit ribosomal RNA". Lineage: Eukaryota; Viridiplantae; Streptophyta; Magnoliopsida; Poales; Poaceae. The record is from RNAcentral.
AUGGAGGAGCAGCUAGAGGGAGAGGAGAAGGACUGGAACUGUGAUUCAUCUGAUGAGGAUUACUCCUAUGGUGAGGAUUCUGAUGGAGAGGCAAAGAGGAUGAAGAGCCAAUUUCCUAGAUUCAAUAAUGACACUGAAAUUCCAAACUUCCAGUUGUCAAUGGUCUUCAGAAGCAAGAACCAACUUGUCAAAGCAUUGAAGAGAUAUGUGCUAGUGACAAAAAGAAGCAUCGUGUUCAAAAAAUUAGAGAUAGAUAGAGUUAGAGCCAAGUGUGGAUGGCCUGGAUGCCCUUGGUUGAUAUAUGUAGCAAAAACCAGCAGGACAAGCAGAUUCCAAGUCAUCACAUAUAAUGAUGAACAUCAUUGUGCCCAAAACAGAGAGAAUAGGCUAGUGACUGCAAAUGUUAUUGCACAGAGGUAUGAGCACUUCAUUCUUGCAAAUCCAAUGUUGAAGAUAGAGAGUAUGAAAGCUACAAUAUUGCAAGAUAUGUUUGUAGAUGUGUCCACCUCAAAGUGCAAGCAUGCAAAGAAACCUGUGAUGGACAAAUUGCUAUCUGGCUUGAAGAAUGAAGAUAACAGAGUGUUUGAUUACCAGCUUGAGCUUCUUAGAAGUAAUCCUGGAAGUACAGUAGCAAUUUGUUUGGAUCCAACUGACUUGGAGCACAAUAUAUUUCAAAGCUUUUAUGUUUGCUUUAACGCAUUGAAGCAAGGAUUCAAAGCUGGCUGCAGGAAAGUGAUAGGAUUAGAUGGUUGCUUCUUUAAAGGAGCUGUGAAGGGUGAGCUGUUGUGUGCUAUAUCUAGGGAUGCAAAUAAUCAAAUGUAUCCAAUGGCUUGGGCAGUAGUUGAGCAGGAAACAAAUGAGACAUGGAAAUGGUUUAUUGGUUUUCUCAUUAAAAUUUAG